Molecule: ribosomal RNA, 477 nt
Filed under: Candidatus Scalindua brodae
Lineage: Bacteria; Pseudomonadati; Planctomycetota; Candidatus Brocadiia; Candidatus Brocadiales; Candidatus Scalinduaceae
Description: bacterial SSU rRNA
Rfam family: Bacterial small subunit ribosomal RNA
Source: RNAcentral
UUCGCAAUGCCCGAAAGGGUGACGAAGCGACGCCGCGUGGGUGAGGAAGGCCUUCGGGUUGUAAAGCCCUGUCAGGAGUUAAGAAAUGUAAGUGCGCUAAUAUCGCAUUUAUUUGACGAAGGCUCCAAAGGAAGUCACGGCUAACUCUGUGCCAGCAGCCGCGGUAAUACAGAGGUGGCAAGCGUUGUUCGGAAUUAUUGGGCGUAAAGAGCACGUAGGUGGGUUUGUAAGUCAGAUGUGAAAGCCUUCUGUUCAACGGAAGAAUUGCAUCUGAAACUGCAAGUCUUGAGUGUAGGAGGGGAGAAUGGAACUUCUGGUGGAGCGGUGAAAUGCGUAGAUAUCAGAAGGAACGCCGGCGGCGAAAGCGAUUCUCUGGCCUAUUACUGACACUCAGUGUGCGAAAGCUAGGGGAGCAAACGGGAUUAGGUACCCCGGUAGUCCUAGCCGUAAACGAUGGGCACUAAGUAGAGGGGUUUU